Molecule: non-coding RNA, 25 nt
Filed under: Cricetulus griseus (Chinese hamster)
Lineage: Eukaryota; Metazoa; Chordata; Mammalia; Rodentia; Cricetidae
Source: RNAcentral
CUGGGCUUGGAAGCAUACACUUGUA